Molecule: ribosomal RNA, 200 nt
Filed under: uncultured bacterium
Lineage: Bacteria
Description: partial 16S ribosomal RNA
Rfam family: Bacterial small subunit ribosomal RNA
Source: RNAcentral
ACGCUCGACACCUACGGGAGCAGCAGUGGGGAAUAUUGCACAAUGGGGGAAACCCUGAUGCAGCAACGCCGCGUGAAGGAAGACGGUUUUCGGAUUGUAAACUUCUGUUCUUAGUGAAGAUAGUGACGGUAGCUAAGGAGCAAGCCACGGCUAACUACGUGCCAGCAGCCGACGGUAAUCUGAGGCGGGCUGGACAAGGC